GAAAUGCGAUAAGUAAUGUGAAUUGCAGAAUUCAGUGAAUCAUCGAAUCUUUGAACGCACCUUGCGCUCCUUGGUAUUCCUUGGAGCAUGCCUGUUUGAGUAUCAUGAAAUCUUCAAAGUAAAUCUUUUGUUAACUCAAUUGGUUUCUACUUUGGUAUUGGAGGUCUUUGCAGCUUCACACCUGCUCCUCUUUGUUCAUUAGCUGGAUCUCAGUGUUAUGCUUGGUUCCACUCGGCGUGAUAAGUUAUCGCUGUAAAGGAACCUAUGAGGGUGUGGCUUGCUUCUAAUCGUCUUAGGACAGCUUUGACAUUUACACCUCAACUCGGGUAGGACUACCCGCUGAACUUAAGC
Molecule: unclassified non-coding RNA, 351 nt
Filed under: plant metagenome
Description: partial contains 5.8S ribosomal RNA, internal transcribed spacer 2, and large subunit ribosomal RNA
Rfam family: 5.8S ribosomal RNA (bases 1-105)
Source: RNAcentral